CCUACGGGCGGCUGCAGUGGGGAAUAUUGCACAAUGGGGGAAACCCUGAUGCAGCGACGCCGCGUGAGUGAAGAAGUAUCUCGGUACGUAAAGCUCUAUCAGCAGGGAAGAUAAUGACGGUACCUGACCAAGAAGCCCCGGCUAACUACGUGCCAGCAGCCGCGGUAAUACGUAGGGGGCAAGCGUUAUCCGGAUUUACUGGGUGUAAAGGGAGCGUAGACGGCAGCACAAGUCUGGAGUGAAAUCCCGGGGCUUAACCCCGGAACUGCUUUGGAAACUGUGCGGCUGGAGUGCAGGAGGGGUAAGCGGAAUUCCUAGUGUAGCGGUGAAAUGCGUAGAUAUGUGGAAGAACACCGAUGGCGAAGGCAGCCUCCUGGGACGCAACUGACGCUCAUACACGAAAGCGUGGGGAGCAAACAGGAUUAGAUACCCGAGUAGUC
RNAcentral lists this ribosomal RNA (440 nucleotides) under uncultured bacterium. RNAcentral's name for it is "partial 16S ribosomal RNA". It matches the Rfam family "Bacterial small subunit ribosomal RNA", at positions 338 to 795 of the family's 1533-position model. The record is from RNAcentral.